GGGGAUGUGGCUCAGUGGUAGAGCACUUGCCUAGCAUAGUGUUCCAAGGCCCUGUGUUCCAUCCCCA
RNAcentral lists this transfer RNA (67 nucleotides) under Neotoma lepida (desert woodrat). It matches the Rfam family "tRNA". From Rfam's summary of the family: Transfer RNA (tRNA) molecules are approximately 80 nucleotides in length. Lineage: Eukaryota; Metazoa; Chordata; Mammalia; Rodentia; Cricetidae. The record is from Rfam by way of RNAcentral.